RNAcentral lists this ribosomal RNA (469 nucleotides) under Actinomyces sp. oral taxon 448. RNAcentral describes it as "bacterial SSU rRNA". It matches the Rfam family "Bacterial small subunit ribosomal RNA", at positions 28 to 477 of the family's 1533-position model. The record is from RNAcentral. Lineage: Bacteria; Bacillati; Actinomycetota; Actinomycetes; Actinomycetales; Actinomycetaceae.
GACGAACGCUGGCGGCGUGCUUAACACAUGCAAGUCGAACGGGCCUGCCUGGCUUUGGUUGGGUGGGUGAGUGGCGAACGGGUGAGUAACACGUGAGUAACCCGCCCUCUUCUCUUGGAUAACUGCUUGAAAGGGCGGCUAAUACGGGAUGUUCUGGCUGCCUCGCAUGGGGUGGUUUGGAAAGAUUCGGCCUGGUUUUGGUUGUUUUGGUGGGGGAUGGGCUCGCGGCUUAUCAGCUUGUUGGUGGGGUGAUGGCCUACCAAGGCGGUGACGGGUAGCCGGCCUGAGAGGAUGGACGGUCACACUGGGACUGAGACACGGCCCAGACUCCUCGGGAGGCAGCAGUGGGGGAUUUUGCACAAUGGGCGCAAGCCUGAUGCAGCGACGCCGCGUGAGGGAUGGAGGCCUUCGGGUUGUGAACCUCUGUCGCCGGUGAUGUAGGCUCUGCUUUGUGGGUGGGGUGACGGUA